RNAcentral lists this ribosomal RNA (305 nucleotides) under uncultured bacterium. RNAcentral's name for it is "bacterial SSU rRNA". It matches the Rfam family "Bacterial small subunit ribosomal RNA", at positions 333 to 652 of the family's 1533-position model. The record is from RNAcentral.
UCCUGCCUACGGGGGGCAGCAGUGGGGAAUAUUGGGCAAUGGGCGCAAGCCUGACCCAGCAACGCCGCGUGAAGGAAGAAGGCUUUCGGGUUGUAAACUUCUUUUAUUCGGGACGAAGAAAGUGACGGUACCGAAUGAAUAAGCCACGGCUAACUACGUGCCAGCAGCCGCGGUAAUACGUAGGUGGCAAGCGUUAUCCGGAUUUAUUGGGUGUAAAGGGCGUGUAGGCGGGAAUGCAAGUCAGCUGUGAAAACUCAGGGCUCAACCCUGCGCCUGCAUUUCAAACUGUAAUUCUUUAUUGCUGG